RNAcentral lists this ribosomal RNA (592 nucleotides) under Bacillus sp. CH462b_14D. RNAcentral describes it as "bacterial SSU rRNA". It matches the Rfam family "Bacterial small subunit ribosomal RNA", at positions 56 to 632 of the family's 1533-position model. Lineage: Bacteria; Bacillati; Bacillota; Bacilli; Caryophanales; Bacillaceae. The record is from RNAcentral.
UGCAAGUCGAGCGGAAGAUGGGAGCUUGCUCCCUGAAGUCAGCGGCGGACGGGUGAGUAACACGUGGGCAACCUGCCUGUAAGACUGGGAUAACUUCGGGAAACCGGAGCUAAUACCGGAUAAUGCUUUUGGACUCAUGUCCUUAAGCUGAAAGAUGGUUUCGGCUAUCACUUACAGAUGGGCCCGCGGCGCAUUAGCUAGUUGGUGAGGUAACGGCUCACCAAGGCAACGAUGCGUAGCCGACCUGAGAGGGUGAUCGGCCACACUGGGACUGAGACACGGCCCAGACUCCUACGGGAGGCAGCAGUAGGGAAUCUUCCGCAAUGGACGAAAGUCUGACGGAGCAACGCCGCGUGAGUGAUGAAGGUUUUCGGAUCGUAAAACUCUGUUGUUAGGGAAGAACAAGUAUCGGAGUAACUGCCGGUACCUUGACGGUACCUAACCAGAAAGCCACGGCUAACUACGUGCCAGCAGCCGCGGUAAUACGUAGGUGGCAAGCGUUGUCCGGAAUUAUUGGGCGUAAAGCGCGCGCAGGCGGUCCUUUAAGUCUGAUGUGAAAGCCCACGGCUCAACCGUGGAGGGUCAUUGGAAA